Molecule: ribosomal RNA, 1228 nt
Filed under: Bifidobacterium bohemicum DSM 22767
Lineage: Bacteria; Bacillati; Actinomycetota; Actinomycetes; Bifidobacteriales; Bifidobacteriaceae
Description: 16S ribosomal RNA
Rfam family: Bacterial small subunit ribosomal RNA
Source: RNAcentral
AAUGCGUGACCAACCUGCCCCAUGUUCCGGAAUNNCUCCUGGAAACGGGUGGUAAUGCCGGGUGUUCCACAUGACCGCAUGGGAUUGUGGGAAAGGGUUNACCGACAUGGGAUGGGGUCGCGUCCUAUCAGCUUGUUGGCGGGGCAACGGCCCACCAAGGCUUUGACGGGUAGCCGGCCUGAGAGGGUGACCGGCCUCAUUGGGACUGAGAUACGGCCCAGACUCCUACGGGAGGCAGCAGUGGGGAAUAUUGCACAAUGGGCGAAAGCCUGAUGCAGCGACGCCGCGUGCGGGAUGAAGGCCUUCGGGUUGUAAACCGCUUUUGUUAGGGAGCAAGCGAGAGUGAGUGUACCUUUCGAAUAAGCACCGGCUAACUACGUGCCAGCAGCCGCGGUAAUACGUAGGGUGCAAGCGUUAUCCGGAUUUAUUGGGCGUAAAGAGCUCGUAGGCGGUUCGUCGCGUCUGGUGUGAAAGCCCGCAGCUUAACUGCGGGUCUGCGCCGGAUACGGGCGGGCUUGAGUGCGGUAGGGGAGACUGGAAUUCCCGGUGUAACGGUGGAAUGUGUAGAUAUCGGGAAGAACACCAAUGGCGAAGGCAGGUCUCUGGGCCGUUACUGACGCUGAGGAGCGAAAGCGUGGGGAGCGAACAGGAUUAGAUACCCUGGUAGUCCACGCCGUAAACGGUGGAUGCUGGAUGUGGGGCCCAUUCCACGGGUUCCGCGUCGGAGCUAACGCGUUAAGCAUCCCGCCUGGGGNAGUACGGCCGCAAGGCUAAAACUCAAAGAAAUUGACGGGGGCCCGCACAAGCGGCGGAGCAUGCGGAUUAAUUCGAUGCAACGCGAAGAACCUUACCUGGGCUUGACAUGUUCCGGAUCGCGGCAGAGAUGUCGUUUCCCUUCGGGGCCGGUUCACAGGUGGUGCAUGGUCGUCGUCAGCUCGUGUCGUGAGAUGUUGGGUUAAGUCCCGCAACGAGCGCAACCCUCGCCUUGUGUUGCCAGCGGGUUAUGCCGGGAACUCACAAGGGACCGCCGGGGUCAACUCGGAGGAAGGUGGGGAUGACGUCAGAUCAUCAUGCCCCUUACGUCCAGGGCUUCACGCAUGCUACAAUGGCCGGUACAACGGGAUGCGACAUGGUGACAUGGAGCGGAUCCCUUAAAACCGGUCUCAGUUCGGAUUGGAGUCUGCAACCCGACUCCANGAAGGCGGAGUCGCUAGUAAUCGCGGAUCAG